UACGAAGGGGGCUAGCGUUGUUCGGAUUCAUUGGGCGUAAAGGGUGCGUAGGCGGCGGGGUAAGUCAGGUGUGAAAUCUCGAGGCUCAACCUCGAAACUGCACUUGAUACUGCCUUGCUCGAGUACUGGAGAGGAGAUUGGAAUUUACGGUGUAGCAGUGAAAUGCGUAGAUAUCGUAAGGAAGACCAGUGGCGAAGGCGAGUCUCUGGACAGUUACUGACACUGAGGCACGAAGGCCAGGGGAGCAAACGGG
This 253-nucleotide ribosomal RNA is filed under the name uncultured bacterium. RNAcentral's name for it is "partial 16S ribosomal RNA". It matches the Rfam family "Bacterial small subunit ribosomal RNA", at positions 524 to 776 of the family's 1533-position model. The record is from RNAcentral.